AGUGGUAAAAUAUGACAUAUUAAAAUUAUAAAAGAAUUGAUAAUAUAUAGACUAUUGUGAGACAAGGGAAGCUCUUGCCAAUAAUAAUAGCCUAUUAGUGCUAACCAUACUACUACUGACUUAAAUAUUUUCUUGCUUUUUUUAUCACCUCCAACAUAAAAAACUCACAAAUGGGCCAAACAGAUAAAAAGAGAACCAAACGAGGACAUCUGGGGAUUCAGAGGCUUACAGCAGUCAUUUAUGAUGACAGGUUGACCUCACAAGGUUGAUGAUAAAAGAUGAAUGCACCUCAUUAUUUUUACUGAAGCAGCAUCUGUGACUGAGAUUCACAGGUUGAAAUCUUCCACAGCAACACACAAUUAACUUGGAAAAAUCCAGGCGUCUCCACAGUUUUAUUGCACUUAGAAUGUACUCAUUUACUGGCUUUUAAUCUGUGACAGACAGUGCUACUAAAAAGCUAUGGAAGGUAAUGACAUAUUAAUUUUCAGAUUGUAAAUUCAUGGAAACUACUAAGAAUUUGGACAGCUGCUCUAUUUAAAUGCUUUUUUUUGUAAUUCCGAGAAUCUCACCGUUUACCAUUAAUAUCAUCCCUUAAGGCACCUUUCUGUUUAAACAGUGGUAGAAAUUGCUUUGACGUAAUGGAAACGGCGUUGUUUACAGCCUAUAGGAAAGGCAAGCAAGUGCUAAGAUAAACAGAAAGCACAAAUGGCACCUUCUCACAUUGAUAUUAUUACAUAAAUGGAACCUUCAACUGGAGAAGAGAGAUCAAUACUGGCUGGAAAUAUCAACAUGUGAGUUUGGGCAUAAUAGCAGUGGUGAAAGGUGCUUACUUAUCUGAAAUCUAUAUUUCCAUCUCAUCAUUGACAUUAAGCCUGACAUGGCACCAGAAAAAGGAAAUGCUCAUUGAAAACAAAUGACAACACAAAGCAAAUGUGGAAAGUGGGGAUGCUGCAGUAUAUCUAAAUAUUUGAACUUCUGUGCCAGAUCAAACUGAAGCCAGAUGCCAGCUGGAAAUGACCAAAUGUUCGAGGUUAUUCCCUGAGAUUUAGUGCAGCCCUUUUGGGAUUUUUUAAAAAUGAAUUCAUUGCAUUCAAGCAAGGUAGACCUUAAAAAGACAAGUGAGUUUCCAUUUUAACCGUCUUCUGUCAGAACCAGGUUUGUGUUUCCUGCAGGAAUAUUCAGCUUAAGAUGCUUUGCAGCAUUGAAACCAGCCAAUACGUUCAGUCAGUUUAGUCUGUUUACUAGUCAAUUUCCAUUCAUGAGCCUCUUUUAGAUAGUUGCUGCAGAAUUAACUUAAAUGCCUAAUAAAACAAAAAUGGAGGCAGACCAGGAGAUGUAUUAAUACUUUUUCUUACUGAAUCUGCACAUUUGACCUCUUGGUCACAAUCAUGACUGCUGCUUAAGUAGGAUUUUUAAUCCCCUUUUAAAGGGUUAUUUCGCCCAAAAAUGACAAUUCUAUCAUCGUUGACUUGCCCUCAUGUUGUUCCAAAACCUGUAUGACUGUAUGUUAGCAAUAGCAUUGGCUCCUUUAAUUUUAGUCUCCCUAGUUUUUAAUCAAGUUACUGCAUAAUUUAGCUUUUUUUUUUAUGAAAAGCAGCAGAUAAAAACCACCCCGUCACUGGGACAUUGUGAAAAACUGCUGCGCCUACACCCAUCAAAACAAAGCCCUCAACAAUGUUGAAAACUCAAAAUGCAGCAAAUUUGGGCAGAAAUCCUUGUAAACCAUGCCAAAGGACAAGGGGCUCUCUUAUAUACUUCACUAGCCUUAUUAGUGGACUUGAGAGCUCUUUGCAUAGUACGCUUCAAUCACUGCAUCAUGAAGCCUUGUUGUAGAGCGAGAGGUGAAAGGCAGACAUGCAUGAGAGAGACUUUCUCACUUUUUGACCUUCCUGAGCUGGAACAAGGACUGUUAUGAAAACCCUCAAAGACAGAUUCAGCUGACAGUAACAUGGAUAAGGUUUAGUGAACUCAUUUCAUGGCUCUUUGGAAUACUUGAGUCUGAAUGGUCAAUUACAGCAGUGGGUGAUGAUAUAUUUUGUAAAAUGAACUGUCUAAUUUUAAUGUUCAUUCUUUGUUCACUCUCUUUUCAUACACACAACCAUGGCACUUUCAAAACAGUAGUAAAAAUGUUCACUAAAAUGAAAGCAACUUGACUGCAGAUUACUUGGCUAAUAGGCCUAAUAUAUAUAUAUCUAAAAUAUUGUUGCAAUUUUGCUAGGCAGAUUUUUGAUGUUGUAAUGCACUAUUGAAGCACAUUACUUAAAGUUGGUGUAUUUUAUUUAAUUAGUAACUAGCUGUGUAUUAAAUUUGAUAAUGCAGCCUACAGUAAAGGCCCAUUCACACCAAUAACUAUAAUGUCGCUUAUACACUAUACGGCUUUCAAAGUCAUCAAACAGCUGUUCUUUUCACAUUACACAAUACAGGCCUACCGAUCGUUACUCAUGGAUUGCCUCUUAUUUGGGCUUUUGUUGGCCAAACAGCAUGUACUAUGAUAAUAACACAGGAACAAACCCAUUGGAAUCACUUUCAGACUGUUUCUUCCAGCUGAUAAACACAUUAAUAGAUGAUCAAAAUCCAUCUAACUUUAAGAACUCAAGCACUUAAAGCAGACAACGACAAAACUGCAGUUUAUAAUUAACAUAAUAUGCACUGGUGUGGAUUCUAAUACAGUUGUCUUUGUUAUCUUUCUAGGUGUAAAUGUGCCAAGUUGGAUACUACCAGGAUCUCAACAAGUAACAGCUUCCCUUUACAUGAAGCCUCUGCAGAGCAAGGUUAGUUAGAAGAAGAUGUGUGCGGAGGAGAAAGAGAAAAAGAGAGACUGUAGGUUAAAGAAAAAAACUAUUUUUUCACUAAUUCCCCCAUGAAAGUGAUUUAAAGUGAGCUGGGAGGGAAUGCCUAUGGAUACAACUCCUCAUAUAUAUCAAGUUGCUGCUUGUUUACAGUGAAACUCAAUCCUUGAUUCUUUUGAAUAAAGCUCUGUUUACAUAUUAUAACAGGACAGUAUGAGAAAGCAGCUCACAGCAGGAAGAGGAAGUGAGACGGAAGUAACCUGGACCAGCUGGGCCUUCGCAGCCGUCUAAACAGCAUGUGAUUCCUCACAAUAAUGAUCAAAACUAGAUGAGAGGACAGAUGACAGAAAGUGAUACAGAUCCAGAGGGCCACGAUUGCUAAAACAUAGCAACUAGAUGAGGAUUUUGCAUUGGAAAACAUAAUCUCAAUGGAGUUAUGAUAUUUAUAAAAACAUAUGUAUUAAUGCUGGUCUAGUUACAGUAUCAUUUGUGCGUUUUUCCCUAUUCAAGUAUGCACUAUCAUUCAAAAGUUUGGGAUUGGGAAGAUUUUUAAUGUUUUUAAAGAAGCCUCUUCUG
Molecule: long non-coding RNA, 3365 nt
Organism: Cyprinus carpio carpio
Lineage: Eukaryota; Metazoa; Chordata; Actinopteri; Cypriniformes; Cyprinidae
Source: Ensembl